ACUUUCUAAAACGAGGCCCGCCUCUCUGUGCACUUUAAACUCCUCUGGACAAACAUUGACUUUGUCUCCAAACUCCGGUUGCCCCUAAACUUCCUCCGUUAACCGAGCGAAAAUGUCUGGAAAUCAGCGUCUGCUGGUGAAAAACGCCAAACAGCUGGUUCUGAUCUGCAGCAACGGAGAGAAGUUCCUGAACAAAGACGGGAUGAAGAGUCUGAGCGUGAUCGAAAACGGCAGCGUUGUGAUCGGGAGGGACGGGCUGAUUAAAUCGGUGGGACCUGCAGAAACCAUCAGUGCUCAAUACCCAGAGUCCUCCUUUGAUCGUGUGAUCGACGCCACAGACAUGUGCGUCCUGCCAGGUCUGGUUGAUGCUCACACUCAUCCGGUCUGGGCUGGAGACCGCGUGCACGAGUUUUCCAUGAAGCUGGCGGGAGCCUCCUACAUGGACGUGCACCGGGCCGGCGGAGGGAUCCACUUCACGGUGGAGCACACCCGCGCCGCCGCCGCCUCGGAGCUGCUGGACGCCCUGACCUGCAGGCUGUGGCGGAUGCUGCGCGCCGGAACCACGCUGGUGGAGUGUAAGAGCGGCUACGGGCUGGAGCUGCAGACCGAGGUCAAGAUGCUGGAGGUGAUAGAGGCGGCCAGACGCUCGCUGCCCGUCAACAUCUCCUCCACCUACUGUGGAGCUCACGCCGUGCCCAAAGGCAGGACGGAGGAGGAGGCGACAGCGGACAUCCUGCAGGUCCAGCUGCCGCGGCUGAAGGAGUUGAUGUCCGCCGGGUCGCUGCAGGUCGACAACAUCGACGUGUUCUGUGAGAGGGGCGUGUUCGGGCUGAGCUCCGCCCACCGCAUCCUGCAGGCCGGCAGAGACAUGGGCCUAAACAUCAACUUCCACGGAGACGAGCUUCACCCCAUGAACUCUGCUCAGAUGGGGGCGGAGCUUGGAGCGUUGGCCAUCAGCCACUUGGAGGAGGUGACGGAUGAAGGCAUCGUUGCCAUGGCGACAGCAAAGACGGCCGCCAUCCUCCUGCCGACGACGGCGUACAUCCUCCGGCUGCCGCAGCCUCGAGCCAGAGACAUGCUGGACGCCGGCGUGAUCGUCGCCCUCGGGAGCGACUUCAACCCAAACGCCUUCUGCUGCUCCAUGCCCAUCGUCAUGCACCUGGCCUGCGUCAACAUGAGGAUGACCAUGUCUGAGGCUCUGGCUGCAGCCACCAUCAACGCCGCAUACGCGCUCGGCCGCCAGCGCACGCACGGCUCGCUGGAGGUCGACAAACACGGAGAUCUGCUCAUCCUCAACUGCUGCAGAAAUCCAGCGAACGUAUUCUAGAAUUCACGGAGAUGCAUCUUUCCUCACAAGCUUUCAAUCAAGUGUCUAAAUGGUGGGAACACCUCAUCUACCAGCUGGGGGGGCAUCAGGAGCUCAUCCGGUACGUCGUCGUCAAAGGAAACGUCGUCCACGACAACACCAUGGAGAUGUGACUGCAGCAGCUUCUCUCAGAUUCUACAAGGACGACGGAGGAACCGUGAAGACUGACCCGCUUCCAGAAGACGUUGGAGGCGUUCCUGCCACAGCCGGGGUGGACCUGCUGGCAGCAGGUGUCAGGAACCACGUUCUCCUGCAGGGCGGCGUACCAGUCGUCAUGGUUCACCACACCGCAGCACAUCCACUGGAGAGAGAAACUCGUUUAUGGUUCUGAACCAGGACUCACAAUAAAAACAUGAGGACAAGUCUGA
This is an RNA transcript of Oryzias melastigma (Indian medaka), 1734 nucleotides long. It is a transcript of the gene named amidohydrolase domain containing 1, with no coding region annotated. The transcript has 11 exons. Lineage: Eukaryota; Metazoa; Chordata; Actinopteri; Beloniformes; Adrianichthyidae. The record is from RefSeq and is a predicted model, not a curated record.